Long non-coding RNA from Trichechus manatus latirostris (Florida manatee), 14367 nucleotides. RefSeq lists it as uncharacterized. Lineage: Eukaryota; Metazoa; Chordata; Mammalia; Sirenia; Trichechidae. The transcript has 2 exons. The record is from RefSeq and is a predicted model, not a curated record.
CAAGACUUCUUGCUUACUUUGGACACAUCACCCGGAAAGACCAAUCACUAGAAAAGGGCAUCAUAUUUAGUAAAGUAGAGGGUUAGCGAUCACGAGGAAAACCCUCAAUGAGAUGGAUUGACAUGAUAGCCUCAAAGAUUGUGGAAGUGGAGCAGGACCAGGCAGUGUUUUGUUCUUUUAUACAUAAGGUUGCCAUGAGCUGGAGCUGACAACUAACAACAGUGAUUUGCCAGAUGGAGAAGGCGUUCUUUCUAAAUAGAUUAGCACAUAGAGUGAUGUGGAGACAAGAAAGAGCAUUAUGAUGUGUUGGGGAAAACUAUAAGUAGUUCUGUAUGAUGGAAUGUAAAGUAUUAAUGAGAGUAAGGGGAGAUGAGGCUGGACGAGUCCUUAAGGUCUUGUAGGGGCAGGAGGUAUUUUGAUAGAUUCUAGUCUCUUCUAAUUCUUUUCCCUAGUUCUUCGGAGCACCCCGCUCCCCACAUCCUCAUUUUAGAGUCUCCUUUUCUCUGUUUGAUUAGCUGCUUUCCUAGCUUUAGAUGCCAGUGCCGUGGAACUGGGGAAGUACUUCUUCCUUUCGCCAGGUGAUUUGUAGUAGGAUUAUUGAGAGAGAGAGGAAGGAAAGAACCUACAACCCUGUUGCCAGGUAUGCAGAUCUGCUUUGUCAUGUCAUUGGACCUCUGAAUAUUGUUACACAUAGUGGUUUGGGUCUUUAAAUAAAUAAAAUUAGGUACAUUGUGGUGUUAUGCCUUUUGUGGGCUUAUCUGGAAAUCGAACUUUUUUUGAGUUCCAGAUUUAUGAGAGAACUUAAACACAAACUGUCUUAUCAUCUGGUGAUGGUUAGUAUGAAUAAAAAAGGUUUGAUAAAUGAAUUAAGAUCAAUAAGAUUGUUGGGGGCAUGUGCCAUUUAGGUGAUUUAACUAUUGAUAUCUGCUUACUGCAAGUCAUUCUUACCUGUUUUUAAAGCUGGACCUGUGAAGCCCUCUACCAAAUAAGACUUUGUUAGUCCUGUGGAAAUUAACAUACUCAGUUAUUUAGAUUACUUACUGAGUGUCUACUGCAUACCCAAGUUACUGUGUUGAGAUACUGAGAAGCCUAAAAGUGAAAUUGUUUAUCAUGUUGUCAGUUUAAUAGGGAAGAUUAUGGUACAUACAGAUAACUGUAUUAUCAGAUAAGUAUAGAACAAAUAUCACUGAAAUACAGAGGAGAGAGAUACUGCUUUUGACUAGGGGAGAACUGGAUCUUAAAUGUUAAGUCGUGUGCUGUUGCAUCAGUUCCAACUCACAGUGACCCUAUGUGACAGAGUAGACCUGCCCCAUAUGGUUUUCUAGGUUGUAAUACUUAUGAAAGCAGAUCGCCAGUUCUUUUCUCCUGCGGAGCCCCUGGUGAGUUCAAACCCCAGACAUUUUGGUUGGCAACUGAGCAGUUAACCAUUGUGCCACCAGUAGUGAGGAGCAGCAGUAGGCAUUUCCAGUGGAGGAAAGAGUAUGAGCAAAUAUUUGUAGACAGGAAGGCUGGCUUGUGUUUGAGGAACAAGGAGUCUGUUUGAUUAUAGAGGGUAAAUGAGGUUUUUUGGGCUGGGAGAGGGUCGGGUUGGGUGUAAGGAGAAAUGUGGUUGGAGCAAUUGUCUGAGGCUGGGUUGUGGAGGAAAUUUGUGUUUUAAUCAUAUGACCUUUAGAUAUAUCUUAUUGCCAGUUAGCUUUUGGCUACAAUUGGUUAAGUUGGAAAAUAGAACUGAUUUUUAAAAAUUGCACUUUAUAUUCUGCUGCCAGUGUUAAAAUAAGGAAGGCAGGGAGUUUUGCUGAUCUUGAAACUGAGAAUGAGGUUUUGCUGCAUCAGACUUUUAUGUUAACUUGACUGUUGUAGAUUGCAUGAAUAGUGACAAUAACAAAUGUUUUUGGGACUUCCGAGUCUGUAGAUUGCACAGGAGUCAUUUUUCUAAACAAAAAUAAUGUAUGCCUAACUUUGAUCUGAAGGUAGAAGUUUUAUAAAAGUUUAAGGAAACUUCAGUCUUCAGUGUUUACAAAAUCUGAUACAAAUCAGUUUAAUUAGGAUAUGACAUACAUAAUGAGGGUAAUAGCUAAGAUUUUUGGAGUGCUUUCUGUGUUUUAAGUAGUUGACAUGCAUUAACACAUUUAAUCUUACAAAAGAUCUAUUGAGCAGGUAAAGGUAGUGUUAUUAGCACUGUUGAACAGAUUCAUAAACUGAGAUACCGCUAGUAAGAGGAAAUAGAGAAUAAAUUUAGCAUUUAAAUGACAAAGCACUUUGACUGCAGGUCAGGCAAUCUGGGGUGCCCCUUAGUUCAAAGAACUUUUAGGGAAUGGGAUAUAGUUAGGAAAAAGCCAUUCUUUGAGAAACGUAAUUUCUACAAAUAUGUAAGUUACAUUUAGAAACAGCAACUUCCUACAAUUCUUAGGUUAACUUGUUUGUUAAUAUGCUUCAUUAGGAAUAAGCCUUAAACUGAAAUAUAGGGAGCUGGUCCCAUAUGGCCUUAGGAAAAAUCCCUUACUCACCUGAAUUGCUUAUUUUCUAAAUUGCAUCCUUUCUUUAUUAUUCUGUGAUGCUGUAUUUGUACCCCUUUAGGUUUUUUUUUUUUUUUUGGUCCUUGGUGCUUUGGAAACUGAGAUCAGAAACAGUUUAUGAGCUUUUGCUUCAUUCUCUGUUAGAGUGUUCUGUUCCACCUGCCAGUAUAUCAUCAUUACUUGAAAAAAAAAAAUUUGAAUUUUACUUUCAUGGAGGGGGAGUGGGAUUUUACUUCCACCUUUACUGAAAAUACAUUAAUGUGAAAAUAUAAAAAAUAGCUUGAUAAUAAAGGACUUCCCACCAGUCUUUCCAACCAUAUUUCAAAUGCUUGCUUUUCUCAAUUUUACUUAAGUCAUCCAAGUUUAUUGUCUCCCAGCAUCUGUACUUUCCUGACUUUAUGGAGCUUUUUGAUGUUGUUUUUUGUUUUAAAAAAAAUUUUUUUUCUCAUAAUUUUGAGAAUAUCUGUAGUCCUUGUAAUCCAAAUCAUUCAUCAUAUAUUCCUGGACCACCUCAAAUCUAAAAUAUUUGUUAAAUAAAUUAAAGAAGGCUGUAAUUAUUUAUGUAAUUAUGUUGUGAAAGAAGAGUACAGUGUGCAGUGAGAGCAUACAAAAAGUCAGCAAUUCGAACCCACCAGCUGCUCCUCAGGAGAAAGAUGCGGCAGUCUGCUUCCGUAAAGAUUACAGUCUUGGAAACCCUAUGGGGCAGUUCUACUCUGUCCUGUCGGGUUGCUGUGAGUUGGAAUUGACUCAACAGCAGUGGUUUUGGUUUUCUGGUUUUGGUAACUGAAGGAUGAAGAGGCGUUAGCUGGGUGAAGAGGAGAAGAAGAGAGUUAUAUGCAUCAUGGUAUGAAAUAGGAGCUUGAGAGACUGAAAAGUCCAUCAAGUGAGGCAGUGAGUGGUGGGAGUGGUAUAUAGUGCUAGGGCUUACAGAUCAUAUUAAAAUGUUUGGACUUUAUUCUAGGAGAGUAAAAAUUGUAAGUGGCUUUUUACUUAAAUGACUGUGUGGGUGUGUGUGUAGAGAGAGAGAGAGAAGAAUUGCAUUUUAGAAAGAUUACCCUGUAGAAUAGAGAGAAAUUGGCAGUCUAAUUAGGGGCUGUUGUGGUGGUCAGAAAUGAUAAUAUCUGUGGAGAUGUAGAUGAGGCACCAAUUUCUUGUUCCCAGCCCCUACUUGCCUUUUGUUCUCAGGCAUUAUCUCUUGGAAAAUUCCUUAACCUGAGGUAUUUGUAGGUUUAAGCUGGGGAGUAAAGCUAAUCCUCUACCCUUGACUAAAGAAUGUUUAUCUGAAUUUUAGAUUUGCCCCUUUUGGGCAUGCAGCCUUAGAUGGAUGCUCGUGUUUGAUUAGGAAAGAUAAAGCCCCUCUCCCUCACUCCUGAUUGGCCAAAUGAGCUAUAGACAAGCCAUGGGUGACCUUUGUAAUCAUAUUGCUCCCCUAUCCCUCUACAGAGGUGUUUUCUUUUACUUUCAUAGCAUCCUCUCUCUGUUUAUCUCUCUUGAGAAGUGAGACUGUAUUUUAUUCAUCUUAGAAACCCCAGUACCCAGAAUAUAAUGCCUGGUACGUAAGAAUAUCUUAGUAAAUAUUUAAUAAAUCUUUGAGGAAGAGAAUGAAUUUAGUGUACUAGGCUGGUGAACAGUUUUUUGUUGUUUUUAAAUGUGAGUUAACCUUUAUAUUGAAAAUACUCAAAUAUGAUCUUGGUCCUCAUCUAGUUGGUUCACUCGAUCAGUUCAUUGUGUUCAUUCCAGGAUUAUGAAUUUGAUAGUUAACUGUGGCCACAGACUAAAUGACUUAACACGGCUAAUUGUAUUUGUUGACUGUUGGUCAUAAUGGGUAUCAGUUGAGGGUAUAUAAUAGAGCAUCACUAAUCCAUCACCAUACUCCACCAUAGUAGCAUCAUCAUCUUGAAAUUAUUUGGUUAAGUGAUGAAUUUGUGUAUGAUUACGUCAAAUCUGGUUUUUAUCCCUUGUUUUAAUCCCAUAGAACCAUGCAACUGUAAGCAUUAUUAUUGUUUCCGCAAUCCUUAAUUUAGUUAGCUUGUUGGAAGGACUAUGUUUCUUAAAGUAAAUGUCUACUCUCUGUUUUUAUGUGUGUGUGUAUAUAUAUAUAAAUAGAGUGAGGAUUGUGUAUGUUGUUGUCAAGUGCAGUCUAGUAGAUUCCAACUCUUAGAAGCCCUAUAAGACAGAGUAAAAUUGCCCCAUAGGGUUUCCUAGGCUGUAAUCUUUACUAGCAGAUCGACAAGUCUUUUCUCCUGUGGAGUCUCUGGUGGGUUCAAACUGCUGACCUUUCAGUUAGCAGCUGAGCAGACUUGCGUACAUCUGCUUAUUAAUGCUAGAACUCUAAUUGGCCAAGGCAGCAUCAAUUUAUCUGGCUGUAGCUGCUUGCCCAUUUUUGGCCUACAACCUUUUGUGUAUCUGUGACAUUCAUUAGGAGAAGAGCAAAAAAAAAUUUGCUUUUAUUUGCAAUAUAUGUAUUUUUCCAAUAGUAUUGAAUUGUUUAUUUGUCAAAUACAGUGCAAACGAUCUCUUUUUGGUCUUUUUUUUUUUUUUAAAUCUUUUGUGACUUGAAAUUAAGAAACUUGGUGGUCUAGUUUAGAAUAUUCUUUAGUUUUAUUCAAUAUGUCUUUAUACCUAAGAAAUUUGUUUUAAUAGUUGUGGGUGCCUUUUUUUAAGUUGCUGAGUUUGCAUAUCUUCAGAUAGUAUCUUUGGAAAGCAUUUAAUGUAGAGAAGAAAACAUUUCACUAAUUGCAGUUACUAGCUUUAUUUCAGGUGAACUAUUGCUAGGGAACUGGUCUGGUUUUGAUUUAUAAGACCAAUGUGAAGAUUUGUUGGUAAAUACAAAAUGGAGUGGGUUGAUUACAAUGAGUUUGUUUUUAAAAACUGCAGAUCUGAGAGGAAGUUAAGUUAUAGGAUAGCUGCAUUUCAUCUUUUGGUGUGGAACCGGAGGAGAGAUCUGGUUUGUUCUUUACGUGACCACUUUGUCAUCUGUUUUCAGAAUUGGAAGAUAGAACCAUUUGUAUUCCCAUUUGUACAUUUCCUUUUAGAAGUAAAGCUAACUGUUUAAUAACCAAGAAGUUAAGAUUUAGCAGGCAGUAUUUCCUCAUCUGUUUUUCUUUUCUCAACAUCAACUUUUGUAACUUUUCUUUACAGAAGUAUGUAAUUGUUUUAUUAUAAGUUCCAAAAUUCAUGUUAGGUAUUAAUUUAACAUAGGGUUUUAGACUUUUUAGAGUAUAAACUCAUUUAUUUUUAUUCAUAUUCUUGUAAAAUAGAGUUUUGACUUGGUGACUUACAGUGGCUCAAGGCAUUAUCUUUAGGUGGUUUCUGUAACCUGUCCCAGAAACACCACAUAGUGGGACACAGCUAAGUAGCAAUAAAGUGGCAUGUUAUUAAUGCUACCCAUUGCCGUCCAGUCAAUUCCGACUCAUCGUGACCCUAUAGGACAGAGUAGAACUGCUCCAUAGGGUUUCCAAGGCUGUAAUCUUUACGGAAACAGACUGCCACGUUUUUCUCCCAUGGAGUGGCUGGUGGGUUUGAACUGCCAACCUUACAUUUAGCAGCCAAGUGCUCAACCGCUGCACCACCAGGGCUCCUUUUAUUAAUGCUAGAACUCUGUAACUCUAGCGUUAAUAAAGGGGCACACAGCUGAGUGGUAAUAAAGAACAACCGUAGGAGACUGACUUAAAAAUUAGUUGUAUGGUUGCCACUGGUGGCUAAAUUAGGAAACUAUUUAUAGAGCAGCUCAAGAGACUGAAGUAGGCACUCCUUAACAGACUGCCUGAAGGUAGUGUGCAGGAAGAGAACCAAUUCUUCCUAUAAACCAAAAAACCAAACCCGUUGCUGUCCAGUCGGUUCCAACUCAUAGUGACCCUAUAGGACAGUAGAACUGCCCCGUAGAGUUUCCAAGGAGCAUCUGGUGGAUUCGAAUUGCCGACCUUUUGGUUAGCAGCUGUAGCUCUUAACCACUAUGCCACCAGGGUUUCCAUUCUUCCUAUAGGAAGAUGGAAGUGUUUUAAGAGAGGAGUGUAAGCUGCUUCCUAUUCUUGGGCUUGUAGACUUAACCUAGAAUUGCUUUUGUUUUUUAAAUUUUUCUUCAUCAGAGUUGUUUUCCUAACUUAGCCAGUGACCAGCCAAGAAUGUAUUUUGUAGCUUUUGAGGCCUCUUUUAAUAUAGUCUAUCUCUUAUGCUCUAAAUUGGGAAUGGUUACAUUUUUGGGACAGAAGAUGACUGGAAAACUGCUCUGUGUGUUCUUAUGUAAAAUCAUGUAAGGUCUAAUUCAUUUAAAAUCUGGUGAGUUGACUUAGUUUUUUCUGUGAUAUUCUUGGCUUCUUUAAGCUUGCGUAUAAAUUAAGGUUUGUGACAGUAGUUUCUAAAGCACUUGAAGAUGGAACUGUCCUAAACUCUUGAUGCCUGUAUAUUGUUAACUUCUAUUGAAUAGUAUGUUUUCCUUAUAUCCUGUCAUCUUUAGUUCAUUGUAGCCGGAGUGAAGAUGAUAAUGCCAGUGAGCAGGACAUACCAGGCAAGAGGUGGUUACUGUAUAUACUAGACAUUACAUUUGCCAGGACUAACAGGAGAGAGUGUGUAGAUUUUAGAAUAAUUAGAGACCACUUGGUAUGGAGAGAGUUUCAAUCGAUCCAUUCACCCCUCACCCGCUCAUCAUCCAUCCAUCCAUCUCUCUCCCCCAGUGGAAAGAUACUUGUGUUAAGAAUCUAGUUCUAGCACAGACACUAGUGUAACUGGCACGUAUUUAAAUCUAACAAUGAUUAUAACAGCAUUGCUUGCCUGUCACAAGGAUGUUGUAAUAAUCAGAAGACUAAGGAUGUGAAAUAAUUUUGUAAAGCAUAAAGAAAUCUGCAUGUGUAAAGAUUUUGCCACUCUUAAGAUUGAGUGCAAGUCAUUAUGGUAACAUUUCCCAGUUGAUGAAGAAAUUAGACUUUCGAGAAGGUUUUGCAGAAGUUGUUGAGUUUGAGCUGGUUUUGUCAUACAGUAUUGGAAAGGUAAUAGAGGAAUAGUUUGCUGAAAUGGAGGAAAACUUACCAAUAAAAUAUGAUGCUAAGUAAAAAAAAUAAUAUAUUUAUAAUGGUGCUUUAAAGCUUAUAAAGAACCUUAAAUGUAUUGUCUUACUAAAACAAGAAUGUUAGGAAAAUUAAAUUUUAAUAUUGCUAUUUUCAAAAUGUAGAAAUUGAUCCUGAGUGACUAAUUAACAGUCCUGAAGUCAUACUGCUGAACAGUGAAUCUGGAAUUUGAUUCUAGAUCCUUUGCUCAUUUAGAUACGUCACUCAAUUCUGGUUAUAAUACAGUCCUAGGGCCUGGAAAUGGAUAGGGCCACGCAUGGAAAUGGAAGGAGAGCCUAGAGCAGAAGUUAGUGAUGGUGCCAUUUGCAUCCUUAUUAUUAGUUGAAGCAGAGACUGGAAAUGAAUAGUGCUUAAGGCUAUCAAAUAAGUGUGAGUCAGAGAAGAGCUCUAAUAGGGAGAAAUGAACAUUAAAGGAAUUAUAGGAGUAAAAACAGACACCUCAUCCCACACUUGCCAAUCCCAGUCAUUCUGGAAGGUAUCCAAAUAAUAUAGCAGUGAAAUAAAAAGUUAGUGUGCUCCAGUGUCCCUCAGGUUUAGGGAGGGAUCAUGCUUGAAAACUAGUAGUAUUCAAAGUAGUAGCAUUUAGUUGGAUAGAAGGCUUAACUUGGGGGAUACUUUGUCACCAUGGAAACCCUAGUGGCAUAGUGGUUAAGAGUUGGGCUGAUAACCAAAAAGUCAGCAGUUCAGAUCCACCAGGCACUCUUUGGAAACCCUAUGGAGCAUUUCUCCUCUCUCCUAUAGGGUCACUAUGAGUCAGAAUCGGCUCAAUGGCAGUGGGGUUGUUUUUUUUUGGUCACCAUAGCAGAAGGGAAAUUGGUAAAGGAUUGCUACUGUAGAAUGAAGAAGGAAAGGUGGUUAAAUUUUCCUUGCUGUUUGUUUAUACCAUUUAAGAUUCGUGUUCCCAUCUCAUAACAAGCCGAGAGAGAUACUCUCUUAGAAUCGCAAGGGACUCUUCAGACAUCUAUUUACAGAUAGAAUAUGAUUUUUGAAAAUAGAUAUGUUGUCUGUCUAUAUCUAUUUAGACAGAUAAGAUCUGGAUAAGUAGUUGCUUGAAAGAAUCAGCUGUUUUUAUUCUUAAGGUGUUAUUAGUAUUGCAACAGUUAUUGUGGUUGGUACAUAGAAGCAGAACUAAAUAAAAAACAGCUGUAAGUAUUAUGUACAAUGUAGGUUAAGUGUUAAAUUUAUUGUUUCUGAAUUUUCUAGCAGCAGAGGUCUGUUUAUCAAAAUACUUUGUACUGAAAGAUACUUAAAACCUGUAUUGGGGGAAAUAAGUAUAUUUAACAGUAUAGUGUGCAAAGGAAGUUGUGAUCAUAUCUAAAUUUUGGUAGAAGUAAUCUACUCUUUUUUCUUUUUGUGGUGGCAAAGUUUUUAUUACCAAACAUCUCUAUAAUUAAGUGCUAAAGGAAGUGUUCCAGAAAAUACUUGGAAUAUAUUUCUUCUUUUAAAGUGUUUUUCCAAGUGUUAAGUCAUCUUAAAUUAUUGCUGUCAUUUACUUUUAAUGGCUUUUAAUCUUAGAGUGAAUCAAAUAACACUUUGUUUCAGUUCUGGAAUUUAGACACAACAUCCAAAUGAACUAUACCUAUGUGUAAUUCAGAAAGAAAAAAAAAAUUUCCCCCCAAAUUAACAAACACUUUAAUGGCCAAAGCUUGGAGUUUUAGAUUCAAAUUAGUGAAGUUUUUUUUUUGCUUGAUUUUUCUCUCCACCCCUUCUUCUCCUCCUCCAUGUUUAUGAGCAGAGAAAUGGGCUUUUGUUUCACCUAUAAAUUUGCAAAUAUUUAUACCAUCAUAUGAACACAGGUACAAGGCAAGGUGUUACACAUUGUGGAUGAUAUAAGGAAGCAAGAUUCCUGACUUUAUUUUAUCAGAAUAAAGAAAGGGUCUUGAUUGCUUGAAACAAAAACGGCCGUCAGGUUACAGCUGAGAGCAUAUUCCUGUUUUCAGGUGUGAGAUAUCUUUGGACAUAGAGAUGCAAAUUUCUGGUAUCUCCUACUCCUCAGAAGACCUUGGAUUGAUUUUCUGAGAAUCCAUCUGGGAAUCAUUUGCAUAGAAGUUUUCAUUGAAGUUAGGAGAUUAGAUGAUUUUCUCAGGGUGAAAAAAAUAGCAUCAGAGAUUAAUGUUAAGAGAUGCCCAAGGGUAGGGAGUGAGAGGACAAAGUGGCUAGCAUGGAAACGUGUUUUGUGUUUUAGGAAGGUUAGGGGAAUAACUGGAAUAUAGCACUUAAAGAAAGAAAAGUGAAAAUACAUCAGGAGUAGAUGGUGGUGGUGUAUUAAUUUCUUAGCUACAUGUAAACUCUUAUUAGGUCACUUACAACUAGGGUGACAUAAAAUUUAUUGUCCAAAUUGGAUUACCUUUGAGAGUGAAAGAGUGUUAUCUGAAUGGGAUAAUAGGACAGAGGUGUAAACCAGGACUAUUUCAGGCUAGCUAGGACACUUGGCCACCUCCUGUUUAUAACGUACUUUUCUCCAGACUUAGUCCCAUUUCCGUUAACCUCUCAAGAUAAUUUUUUUUCCUUAUAGUACUCUGAUCUGCACUUGCAGAGCCCCUCAAGCUUGGGUUCUUUUUCCCUGGUAUUGUUGGAAUGAAAGGAGAAUUUGUUCCAUUUUUUCUCUCCGGACUGUUUCCGGUUUACAGCAUUCAUAGAGGUGGGAUUGUAAUUCUGAAAAUUCAGAUCUUCAAAGAAAGGAAGGCGAACACCUUGUAUUUAUACCAUGGACAUGUAUUUUUGAUGUUGGAGCAUUGUAAUGCUUUCAUUCUGUUUUCCUGUUCAGUUUAAAUAAAUAUUUAUUUUCAUUCUUAUAUUAAGUGAUGAGUUUUUAUUUUUUUUAUUAUCAUCUUGCAUUUUCAGAUAAGUUAAAAAUUAUCAUAGAGGUAAUAGUUACCCUUUGAGGUAAUGCUUACCAAAAUAUCCAUCUCCUCACCCCUGAGAUCCUUAUUUGGAAUCUGGGGUUCCAAAUCCCAGAGGCUAGGGUCUCUAGGUUUGGGAAUCUGUGCUUUGGAAUACUAGAAUGUAGUCAUAAACAUCUGAAAAUUAAGUAAUCUGUUUAUAGGUGAGACUGAGUUGGUCUGAACCCAUCCUUGUUCCUUCCAGGGUUUUUUUUUUUUUUGAGUUUCUCUGUACAGUCUAACUGCCAUCUAGUGGUAGGAAUUCAGAAUACACCAGAACACCAAGGAGAAACUAGAUUUUUGAGAAUUUCUUGUAUUUUUGAUAAUGGGAAAUACAAAGCAAUGACACUUUGACUUGAAAAUAUAGGUCAGUGGCAGUGAAUUCUGAGUAUUCCAAGAGUGUAUAUUUUUGAACACAGCAUUUUCAUGCUUUAAACUUCCUGCUUUUUUUGUAAGAUUUUAUGUAUUUAUAGCAGGUUUGUGGGGAACGUGGCAGUUACAGAGGUGAUAGAUAAUUUUAAGAGAUAGUAAAUUGGGCUAACUUGAGAAUAAUGUUUUGUAUAUUGAUGGGAAUUUUAGGGCAAUUACAUAAUGAUUCCAUUAACUGAAACAAUUUACUAUGCACUUUUACAAUUAAAGUAUAGACAGUUCAGUAAACUUGACUUUGUUCAGCUAUGAUUUAAGAGCCCAAGUUUCAGCCAGAUACUAGUGUAGAAUAUCUUAAGCUUGGUUUUGUUUACCUGCCUCCAUCCGAAUUCUCUUCUCCAGAUAUUAUUCCCUCUUUAGUUCUUGUUCUUUCCUCUGCUACAGGUGAAAAGGAUGUAAAUCCUUUCUCUGCCAGGAAAAUGCUGCCUUCUGUUACUCUUCUAUAUUCUGUUCCUUCAGGUAGAGACUUCAGGUAUGAGGCAGUUCAUGCUGUCUCACAGUGGUGGUAGGGGGAGGGAAACGAGGUAGUAUAAACUUUAAAAAACAAUUGUUACUCUCUAGGUUGCUAACACAUUGCUUCCAGAUUAUCACUAUACCACAACAGACUAAAUAGAAUAGUAUUACUUUCUAUGAACAACUUCUGAGUUACGUUCCAUUUGUUGAAUUAAUUCACUAAGUACUAAGAGCCUCGUGUGCUAAAUGCUGGGGAUACAAACAUGAAGAAGACAUGAUACUGCUCUUAGUGAGCCCAGUCUUGUGAUAAGAAGACUUACUGAUAAUAAGCCAGUAGUUGUGAUGAAAUAUGAUAACUGCUGUAAUUGUGAUAUAAAGAGCUAAGGGAAUAAAUAGGAAGUUGUAGUCAGGAAAAAGUUGCUUUUCUCUCCGAAAUCAUCAUCAUCACUCCCUCCUCUAUGUGAUCUCUGAGCCCCAUGCAUAUUGUUUGGAAUCACCACAGUGUAUUGUGAGCUCAUAUCUUUAUUUUUGAAAAGCUCAGUCUAUUAGAUCAGAAAUUCCAUGUUUUUUCACAUUUGUAUAUCUAGUUCACAUGUAUCUUCUCACAUUUGUAUAUUUGACAUCAGUAGGUGAAUCAAACAGUUGCUGAUUUAAAUUGUGUGCAGGUCAUUUCCAGCAAAAGGGAUAGCGUAAGGACAUAGAACUCUGAAAGUGUGUGGAACCACCUUUGACUCAUUGUAAGAGUUUUGGAAUAUACACAUACUCACCCAUAUCCAUACACUGUCUUUACCUAAGGCAACCCCAAGUAUAAAGCAAGCCCUCGUUUUCUUAAUGAGACAAUCCCUAAAGAUAUAUUUGUUUAUUUUGCCUUUAAAUAUGUGUGUUAGAGAUAUAGAUGAAGUAAUCAACCUUAUAUUUAAACUUAUUAGUUCAAUUAUUAUAAAAAUAAUGCAUACUUUUAGAAUAAUACUUUUUUCCACUCAUACCUCACAAAACCAUUUUAUUCAUUUUCUACAUUUGUGUGCAUCUAGGGUAAGUUUGUUAGUUUUUUGUCAUCGUAGGCCCUUUUUUGAAUUAUAUAACAUCUUCAUUUUAAGUUUUUUCAGAUGAAGCAUGGUUAGGUACACACUGGAAAUUUUUUCCCCGCCUGUCAAGCGUUCCUAUAAUGAUAGGACAGUUGUUUCUUUCAUUCCUCAUAUGUAUCCCUGAUCACUGCAAUGUAACUUUUUAUUUUGUUGCUUUUUAAAGGGUCCUGAAGAUAACACUUGUAAUUGUGAGUUUAUAUCCACAGGAAUACUUACUAAAUCUGUGUGAAGGUUUUUAUUCCUUUUUUUGUAAAAAUUUUUAAAUUGAUUUCUUCAGGUGCCCAUCCAUAAACACUUGAAACUAACAUUGAUGGAGAUCUUUUCAGGUUAAUCCAUCUUCUUGAAAAAGAACUUUGUUUAAAAUAAACAGAGAGCCAAGUAUUGAGAGACUUUGUAAAGACGUAAGGCAACUUUUUUUCUUGGAGAGUUUUUAGGAGGGAAAAUUGUUCUUAUACGUGGUGAUUAAAAAAUUAAUCAGUUAAAAGGGAAAAAGCUUAUUACCCAAUAACCAGGUUAUGUAUAACAUGUAUUGUUAACAAAUUAGAGUUAUCUUUAUGUUUCCUCAGUUUUCACAUAUGUGAGUCUCUAGUCCAUUCUUUUGCAGAGAACAUAGUGACAGAAAUAGGAUAUCUAGUUGUGCUGACAGGUUUUUCCUGCAGCUGCAAUUUUAUUGUUUUAAGUAAAAUGAGACUUUGCUUCAUUUACAUUUCUCUCUGGUGAGAGAUUGAACUUGGGUUGAAAAUACUGACCUACCUCUGAAAUAGUGGUAACCAAAUUUCCAGCUGUCAUACCUUGAAAUUCUCAUGCUUAUUCUACCUUCUUCACAUCCUUGAUGAAAUAAAAGAACCCGUCAUGGCUGCUUUUUCCACCACUGAUGGUGAUAUACUCCAGAGGGUCUGUAGUGAAUUAGAGACAGGAUUGGUAUGUGCGUGUGACAUAGGGGGUGCUUACUGAGAUUUGUAAGAUUAUGGAAAAACAGUGAUAUAGUUCCUUUACAAAUUGAUUUUGAUUACCUGUUCUUAUAUAACUUAGUUACUGAAUAAUAAAUUUUGAAAGUGUUCGAUUCUUUCUGAAUCACAAUGUAUUUGGGCAAAUGCAGUAUAUAUCACAAAAUGUGUAAAUUAUAUAAUUUAUUUAAAAAUUUACAAAUUGGAAUCUUGAUGUGUAUUGUUUUUUAACAUAGCUUGUGAUUUAUAAUACUGUGAGCAUUUUCGCAUCAACUUUUUUGUUAUGUAUUUAUUGUUCUCAUUUUGUCAGUAGAUUGUAUUAUCAUUUAAUUAAAAUUCCUCCAUUAUUGGACAUAUCCACUUACAUUGUAAAUUAGGUCCCUUUGCUUCAUAGUACUUUUAUCAGUCAUUUAGAUGUCUUCAUUUGUCAUUUCUUUUCUCAUUUCAAAUUAAUUCAAUCCCUGUCACUUGUAGUCAAUAUUCCAUAUUCUAUGUUUAAGAUCCUUUCCCCAGUUUUUAUCUUAAAGACCAAUUAAUAUGUUGGUGAGAUUCAGUUUUUAAGGUGUGACUCAGUCUGUGAAGAGCAGGUUUUUGAGUUAAUUCUAAUGAAAAUUAUGUAGAAAUAUAAUGUAUUUCUCACAUGUUGUUAGUUGCUGUCGAGUCAGUUCAGACUUAUGGCAACCUGUAAAGUUAUAUCUUAAUUUGGGCCUUACUUCAUGACCCCUUACACAAAAAGUUUGAUGGAGUAAGAAAGGAGAAGUCUUGGAUUUCCCAAAACUAGGGCAAAUGUGUGUGUAUGUCUGCGUGUGUGUGUGUGUGUGUGUGUGUGUGUGUGUAAAUUUUUUUGGCUUUAAGCCUCAUUUCAACUUGCAUAUUUUCUAAAUACUUUGAAAUUAUUGCUGUAUGAAAAAAAUGUUGCUGAUACUUAUAUCAAAAGCUCAGAAACUGUUUUCUUAUCCUCGUUACUGUUUCUUGAUGAAUAUUUAUUUAUACUC